This 467-nucleotide ribosomal RNA is filed under the name uncultured bacterium. RNAcentral's name for it is "partial 16S ribosomal RNA". It matches the Rfam family "Bacterial small subunit ribosomal RNA", at positions 28 to 507 of the family's 1533-position model. The record is from RNAcentral.
GACGAACGCUGGCGGCGUGCUUAACACAUGCAAGUCGAACGGAAAGGCCUCUUUCGGGGGGUACUCGAGUGGCGAACGGGUGAGUAACACGUGAGUAACCUGCCCUUGACUUUGGGAUAACUUCAGGAAACUGGGGCUAAUACCGGAUAGGAGCUCCUGCUGCAUGGUGGGGGUUGGAAAGUUUCGGCGGUUGGGGAUGUACUCGCGGCUUAUCAGCUUGUUGGUGGGGUAGUGGCUUACCAAGGCUUUGACGGGUAGCCGGCCUGAGAGGGUGACCGGCCACAUUGGGACUGAGAUACGGCCCAGACUCCUACGGGAGGCAGAAGUGGGGAAUAUUGCACAAUGGGUGGAAGCCUGAUGCAGCAACGCCGUGUGCGGGAUGACGGCCUUCGGGUUGUAAACCGCUUUCGCUCAUGACGAAGCUUUGUGUGACGGUAGUGGGUAAAGAAGCACCGGCUAACUACGUG